This is a long non-coding RNA of Cynoglossus semilaevis (tongue sole), 575 nucleotides long. RefSeq lists it as uncharacterized. NCBI's taxonomy places the organism in Eukaryota, Metazoa, Chordata, Actinopteri, Pleuronectiformes, Cynoglossidae. The record is from RefSeq and is a predicted model, not a curated record. The transcript has 5 exons.
CACUGCCAUUAUUUGGUCUCCACGUUUCAGACGUCCGUCCUCAGCCGCUGCUCCCUGAACACAUAGGAUUGUCGUUGAACAAAACAUCAUUCUUCAGUUCAGUGAAAGGUAGAUUAUCUCGGUGUGGGAGAGUUGAUCUUGCCAGAACAGAGGAGGAUUUGGUCUCCUGCCCACAGCCUGCCAUCCUUGGAGGCUGCUCCUUCUUCGUAAACCUCGUGGAUAAUGAUGGCCCCCUGGAGAAGAAGAGGGAAAUUAAAAUAUAAAAAGCGAAAUAAUUGAGGCAGCAAAGAAAGACAGUGAAUGUUUGGCUGAAUAUUGUCUGCAGCGGCUGAGGCCAGACAAAGAGGUGCUCCCCCAAGCCUGACUGAGCAGACAGAAUAGAUGGGCUGAGGAGAGGAUGGCAGGAGAGGCAGAAAGAGGAGGAGGAGGAAGAGGGUGUCACAGCCUCCCACGAUGCUCAGACCCAAGCCAGUGCGACCCUUGGAGAUGUCAAUGGUGGUCUCACAGCCAGGGAUGAUGGGACAGGUCGCUGGGUCACAGGUCAGAGUUGAUGGAGUGGAGGAGCGACUCAGACC